UACGUAGGGUGCGAGCGUUGUCCGGAAUUAUUGGGCGUAAAGAGCUUGUAGGCGGUCUGUCGCGUCUGCUGUGAAAAUCCGGGGCUCAACCCCGGACUUGCAGUGGGUACGGGCAGACUAGAGUGUGGUAGGGGAGACUGGAAUUCCUGGUGUAGCGGUGAAAUGCGCAGAUAUCAGGAGGAACACCGGUGGCGAAGGCGGGUCUCUGGGCCGAUACUGACGCUGAGGAGCGAAAGCGCGGGGAGCGAACAGG
RNAcentral lists this ribosomal RNA (253 nucleotides) under uncultured bacterium. RNAcentral describes it as "partial 16S ribosomal RNA". It matches the Rfam family "Bacterial small subunit ribosomal RNA", at positions 524 to 776 of the family's 1533-position model. The record is from RNAcentral.